AUGAACGCUGGCGGCGUGCCUAAUACAUGCACGUCGCGCGAACAGACGAGGAGCUUGCUCCUCUGACGUUAGCGGCGGACGGGUGAGUAACACGUGGAUAACCUACCUAUAAGACUGGGAUAACUUCGGGAAACCGGAGCUAAUACCGGAUAAUAUAUUGAACCGCAUGGUUCAAUAGUGAAAGACGGUUUUGCUGUCACUUAUAGAUGGAUCCGCGCCGCAUUAGCUAGUUGGUAAGGUAACGGCUUACCAAGGCAACGAUGCGUAGCCGACCUGAGAGGGUGAUCAGCCACACUGGAACUGAGACACGGUCCAGACUCCUACGGGAGGAAGCAGUAGGGAAUCUUCCGCAAUGGGCGAAAGCCUGACGGAGCAACGCCGCGUGAGUGAUGAAGGUCUUCGGAUCGUAAAACUCUGUUAUUAGGGAAGAACAAAUGUGUAAGUAACUAUGCACGUCUUGACGGUACCUAAUCAGAAAGCCACGGCUAACUACGUG
RNAcentral lists this ribosomal RNA (496 nucleotides) under uncultured bacterium. RNAcentral describes it as "partial 16S ribosomal RNA". It matches the Rfam family "Bacterial small subunit ribosomal RNA", at positions 29 to 507 of the family's 1533-position model. The record is from RNAcentral.